Jatropha curcas is the source of this 630-nucleotide non-coding RNA. NCBI's taxonomy places the organism in Eukaryota, Viridiplantae, Streptophyta, Magnoliopsida, Malpighiales, Euphorbiaceae. The record is from RefSeq and is a predicted model, not a curated record.
UAGGCCCCAAAGGGCCUAACAAUAAUACGACAAAGUCAAUACAACUCUUACUUCAAUUUGGAUGAUAUCUGUCCCUAUCUCCAUUUGAGUAGCCCUUCUCGAAGUGAUCCUCAAAUUCUUUUGAAUGCUCAAUUUAAAGCAAUUUCAUAGCAUGUCUUUGAAUACACAUUGAUACUUUUCAUAUUCAAUUAGAUUAUUAAUGAAGGCACCCAAGAUGUUAUCCAAGUAAUUAUUACCUCAAUAUAAAAGUCCUCUGCAUAUAGAAGAGCAGCAAAAUAGUCCUUGUAUGUUGAGACACACAAUGGCCUUUUCAAAACUCCAGGUACUUUGUCUUUCUUGAUCAAAUCUUGUAUAUCCUUAGGAAUCGCAUAAAUAGGUAAUGCAUCCUUUUGAACCCAUAUGUAGUUUGCUUUUGAAUGCUCAUUUGUGCCAUUUGGGGAAGUUGGAGCCAGGGUUGACUUAAAAGAUGCAGGGGUUACAGAGGAUGAUGUAGAUUGCUUUAAGGACGAAAGAGGUACAUUACUUGAGAAUAUAAAAGGUUUAGAAGACAGUGGAGAUGGCUCAGAGUGUGAUGUUUGAAAUUUUAGGAUAGGUGAUGUGUUCUUUUCAACCUGUUUGUUGGUGGCUUUU